Molecule: long non-coding RNA, 1242 nt
Organism: Malania oleifera
Lineage: Eukaryota; Viridiplantae; Streptophyta; Magnoliopsida; Santalales; Ximeniaceae
Exons: 2
Source: RefSeq, a predicted model, not a curated record
GUAAACAUGGAGCCCUAGUUUUCUUCCCUAUAUAAAUAAGCAGGCAGCAUACCCCAAUACCACGAAGGAUGCUUACCCUCGAGCUAGGGUUUCGCCGCCAAUCGCCGCCCUCCCUCCCUCCCAAUCUAGGCUUGAAAAUUUUAUUGCAAAUCAAUUCAUGACUCUGAAUGAACUCGCUAGCAUGGAUAUAAUCAGGAUCAUCAAGUGAUGAAGUUUGGAUGAAUCUUAGGACACCUUCCUACACAGUUUCAAAAGCUGUGGAUGAGAAAUAAUAUCCAUUCUGAUGAUGAUUAAUGUGAGUUAUCUUAAGCGAAGGAAUUGAUCAUAAGUUCUCUUUGGGAGACAAAUAUGCAAAUUAGCUUGGAUUGCGGGGCAAUAUUUUUAGGUUGAAUAGUUGUAAUAGAAUUUGGUAGUUUUAUCGAAUAAUAUAUUGCUUCCAUAAAUCAAAUAACGUUGUUGUCCAAUGUUUGGAGGGAAAUUUUGGAUUCAAUAAUAAGAUGUAAUAUAAGACUAUUAAAAUUUAUUCAAUUCAAAUCCAAGGCUGAAAUUUUAUACACCCAAACAGUCGUGAAUAUUUUUAAAAAAUAAUAAUUAAAAAUAUGAAAGGAAAAAUAUUUUCAAAUUUUUUACUAAAGCCAACUUUAGAUUGAGGGUUUUGUUUGGAGUUCAUGCAAGGAAAGGAAUUUCGCUGUUUUCGUCUUCCUUACUACCCAUUGUUUAUAGAGGUAUUAAUGAAUAUUACUGUUUCAAUGUUUGCUUCAUUUUCUUAUAUUAAUUGACUAAUAAAUACAUGUUUAAGUUUCUCCACAAAUAUAAAAUUAUAUUAAAUCAAAUAAUAGAAGCCGAAUUUUUCAACAACAUGAUAUAAUAUACAAUCAAUAGAGGUUAGAGAGACAAAUUUUAUCCUUAAGUUAUUAUUUAUUGUUAAUUUUUUGAGUUUGAUUCUUGGUUUUGAUUAUGAUAAAUCAUAAGUUAUGUAUGUGUAUUCAAUGUUUGAAGCAGGUUUAAUACUUUGGCGCACACAUAAGAAAGAUAUGGAAGUUAGGAAGAAUAUAAAGAUCAUAUCAUCGGGCGUAUUUUAUGAAGAAUUCGAGGAGCAAAAGAAGAAUAAGACAUUUGUUAUUUUGAUUGUCAAUGUAUUUUAGUUUUUAAUUUGGUUUGUAAUAAAAGCAUGACAUGCAUGAUGUGGAUGUAAGUUCAAAAUGACCAUAGUUUAAUCGCAGAGAUCCAAACUUGACCUUA